This 256-nucleotide ribosomal RNA is filed under the name uncultured bacterium. Its description in RNAcentral is "partial 16S ribosomal RNA". It matches the Rfam family "Bacterial small subunit ribosomal RNA", at positions 524 to 777 of the family's 1533-position model. The record is from RNAcentral.
GACAGAGGUGCCAAGCGUUAGGCGGAAUCACUGGGCUUAAAGCGUGUGUAGGCGGAAUGGUAAGUACCUUGUGAAAUCCCACGGCUCAACCGUGGAACUGCUUGGUAUACUGCUUUUCUUGAGCCACUUAGGGGCUACCGGAACAAACGGUGGAGCGGUGAAAUGCGUAGAUAUCGUUUGGAACGCCAAUGGUGAAAACAGGUAGCUGGGGGAUGUGCCGACGCUGAGACACGAAAGCCAGGGGGAGCGAACGGGG